GUAGUCCACGCCGUAAACUAUGGAUACUAGGUGUCGGGAGAUCUUACCCUCUCGGUGCCGUCGCUAACGCAUUGAGUAUCCCGCCUGGGGAGUACGGUCGCAAGAUUAAAACUCAAAGAAAUUGACGGGGGCCCGCACAAGCGGUGGAGUAUGUGGUUCAAUUCGAUGCAACGCGAAAAACCUUACCUGGGCUUGACAUCCGGUGACAGUCUGAGAAAUCAGAGGUUUCCUUCGGGAACACCGAGACAGGUGCUGCAUGGCUGUCGUCAGCUCGUGUCGUGAGAUGUUGGGUUAAGUCCCGCAACGAGCGCAACCCUCGCUGUUAGUUGCCAUCAUUAAGUUGGGCACUCUAAUAGGACCGCUUGCCGAUAAGGCAGA
RNAcentral lists this ribosomal RNA (378 nucleotides) under uncultured bacterium. RNAcentral's name for it is "bacterial SSU rRNA". It matches the Rfam family "Bacterial small subunit ribosomal RNA", at positions 790 to 1167 of the family's 1533-position model. The record is from RNAcentral.